UUAAGUUCAGCGGGUAUCCCUACCUGAUCCGAGGUCAACCUGAAAAAAUAGAUUGAGGGGGUCGGCUGGCGCCGGCCGGGCCUGCAAGAGCGGGUGACAAAGCCCCAUACGCUCGAGGACCGGACGCGGUGCCGCCGCUGCCUUUCGGGCCGCCCCCCCCGGGAAGGGGGGCGGGGCCCAACACACCAGCCGGGCUGGAG
Molecule: unclassified non-coding RNA, 200 nt
Filed under: Penicillium sp.
Lineage: Eukaryota; Fungi; Ascomycota; Eurotiomycetes; Eurotiales; Aspergillaceae
Description: partial internal transcribed spacer 2
Source: RNAcentral